UUGAUUGUGGAUCGUCGCCUUCUGUGCUGGCCCCGGCAAGUGCACGUUGGUGGCUUUCAUCUAAUACCCCUGUGAACCUUUGGCCUCUAGUCGGCUUCGGCUGGCAGAGGAUUUACAUACAAACUCGAAUGUAAUGAAAUUUAUUGUCGUGCGCAAGCACUAAUGUA
RNAcentral lists this unclassified non-coding RNA (167 nucleotides) under uncultured Sebacinaceae. RNAcentral's name for it is "sequence contains ITS1". The record is from RNAcentral. Lineage: Eukaryota; Fungi; Basidiomycota; Agaricomycetes; Sebacinales; Sebacinaceae.